UCGCCGCGAUCCGAACACUUC
RNAcentral lists this non-coding RNA (21 nucleotides) under Arabidopsis thaliana (thale cress). Lineage: Eukaryota; Viridiplantae; Streptophyta; Magnoliopsida; Brassicales; Brassicaceae. The record is from RNAcentral.